Molecule: transfer RNA, 65 nt
Filed under: Dipodomys ordii (Ord's kangaroo rat)
Lineage: Eukaryota; Metazoa; Chordata; Mammalia; Rodentia; Heteromyidae
Rfam family: tRNA
About the family: Transfer RNA (tRNA) molecules are approximately 80 nucleotides in length. Their secondary structure includes four short double-helical elements and three loops (D, anti-codon, and T loops).
Source: Rfam by way of RNAcentral
GGUGGCUCAGUGGUAGAGUACUUGCCUUGCAUGCAUGAGGCCCUGGGUUCAAUUCCUCAGCACCU